This 386-nucleotide ribosomal RNA is filed under the name uncultured bacterium. Its description in RNAcentral is "bacterial SSU rRNA". It matches the Rfam family "Bacterial small subunit ribosomal RNA", at positions 30 to 417 of the family's 1533-position model. The record is from RNAcentral.
AUUGAACGCUGGCGGCAUGCCUUACACAUGCAAGUCGAACGGCAGCACGGGGGCAACCCUGGUGGCGAGUGGCGAACGGGUGAGCAACAUAUCGGAACAUACCCUAGAGUGGGGGACAACGUAGCGAAAGUUACGCUAAUACCACAUACGAUCUAAGGAUGAAAGUGGGGGAUCUUCGGACCUCAUGCUCAUGGAGUGGCCGAUAUCUGAUUAGCUAGUUGGUGAGGUAAAGGCUCACCAAGGCGACGAUCAGUAGCUGGUUUGAGAGAACGACCAGCCACACUGGAACUGAGACACGGUCCAGACUCCUACGGAGGCAGCAGUGGGGAAUUUUGGACAAUGGGGGCAACCCUGAUCCAGCAAUGCCGCGUGAGUGAAGAAGGCCU